UCUUCGGAGAGUUUGAUCCUGGCUCAGGACGAACGCUGGCGGCGUGCCUAAUACAUGCAAGUCGAGCGAAUCGAUGGGAGCUUGCUCCCUGAGAUUAGCGGCGGACG
RNAcentral lists this ribosomal RNA (107 nucleotides) under Peribacillus simplex. Its description in RNAcentral is "partial 16S ribosomal RNA". It matches the Rfam family "Bacterial small subunit ribosomal RNA", at positions 1 to 104 of the family's 1533-position model. Lineage: Bacteria; Bacillati; Bacillota; Bacilli; Caryophanales; Bacillaceae. RNAcentral also lists the same sequence under 1 other name. The record is from RNAcentral.